UACAGAGGGUGCAAGCGUUGUUCGGAUUUACUGGGCGUAAAGCGCACGUAGGCGGAUUGGUCAGUUAGGGGUGAAAUCCUGGAGCUCAACUCCAGAACUGCCUUUAAUACUGCCAGUCUCGAGUCCGGAAGAGGUAAGUGGAACUCCUAGUGUAGAGGUGGAAUUCGUAGAUAUUAGGAAGAACACCAGUGGCGAAGGCGGCUUACUGGUCCGGUACUGACGCUGAGGUGCGAAAGCGUGGGGAGCAAACAGG
RNAcentral lists this ribosomal RNA (253 nucleotides) under uncultured bacterium. RNAcentral's name for it is "partial 16S ribosomal RNA". It matches the Rfam family "Bacterial small subunit ribosomal RNA", at positions 524 to 776 of the family's 1533-position model. The record is from RNAcentral.